RNAcentral lists this ribosomal RNA (1373 nucleotides) under Alternaria tenuissima. RNAcentral's name for it is "eukaryotic LSU rRNA". The stretch from base 459 to 1373 matches the Rfam family "Eukaryotic large subunit ribosomal RNA", at positions 1 to 936 of the family's 3401-position model. Lineage: Eukaryota; Fungi; Ascomycota; Dothideomycetes; Pleosporales; Pleosporaceae. The record is from RNAcentral.
CCUCUCGGGGUUCAGCCUUGCUGAAUUAUUCACCCUUGUCUUUUGCGUACUUCUUGUUUCCUUGGUGGGUUCGCCCACCACUAGGACAAACAUAAACCUUUUGUAAUUGCAAUCAGCGUCAGUAACAAAUUAAUAAUUACAACUUUCAACAACGGAUCUCUUGGUUCUGGCAUCGAUGAAGAACGCAGCGAAAUGCGAUAAGUAGUGUGAAUUGCAGAAUUCAGUGAAUCAUCGAAUCUUUGAACGCACAUUGCGCCCUUUGGUAUUCCAAAGGGCAUGCCUGUUCGAGCGUCAUUUGUACCCUCAAGCUUUGCUUGGUGUUGGGCGUCUUGUCUCUAGCUUUGCUGGAGACUCGCCUUAAAGUAAUUGGCAGCCGGCCUACUGGUUUCGGAGCGCAGCACAAGUCGCACUCUCUAUCAGCAAAGGUCUAGCAUCCAUUAAGCCUUUUUUUCAACUUUUGACCUCGGAUCAGGUAGGGAUACCCGCUGAACUUAAGCAUAUCAAUAAGCGGAGGAAAAGAAACCAACAGGGAUUGCCCUAGUAACGGCGAGUGAAGCGGCAACAGCUCAAAUUUGAAAUCUGGCUCUUUUAGAGUCCGAGUUGUAAUUUGCAGAGGGCGCUUUGGCUUUGGCAGCGGUCCAAGUUCCUUGGAACAGGACGUCACAGAGGGUGAGAAUCCCGUACGUGGUCGCUGGCUAUUGCCGUGUAAAGCCCCUUCGACGAGUCGAGUUGUUUGGGAAUGCAGCUCUAAAUGGGAGGUACAUUUCUUCUAAAGCUAAAUAUUGGCCAGAGACCGAUAGCGCACAAGUAGAGUGAUCGAAAGAUGAAAAGCACUUUGGAAAGAGAGUCAAACAGCACGUGAAAUUGUUGAAAGGGAAGCGCUUGCAGCCAGACUUGCUUACAGUUGCUCAUCCGGGUUUCUACCCGGUGCACUCUUCUGUAGGCAGGCCAGCAUCAGUUUGGGCGGUAGGAUAAAGGUCUCUGUCACGUACCUCCUUUCGGGGAGGCCUUAUAGGGGAGACGACAUACUACCAGCCUGGACUGAGGUCCGCGCAUCUGCUAGGAUGCUGGCGUAAUGGCUGUAAGCGGCCCGUCUUGAAACACGGACCAAGGAGUCUAACAUCUAUGCGAGUGUUUGGGUGUCAAGCCCGAGCGCGUAAUGAAAGUGAACGGAGGUGGGAACCCGCAAGGGUGCACCAUCGACCGAUCCUGAUGUCUUCGGAAGGAUUUGAGUAAGAGCAUGGCUGUUGGGACCCGAAAGAUGGUGAACUAUGCUUGAAUAGGGUGAAGCCAGAGGAAACUCUGGUGGAGGCUCGCAGCGGUUCUGACGUGCAAAUCGAUCGUCAAAUUUGGGCAUAGGGGCAAAGACAAUC